AGCUCCGCGAGUGGUCGGGACGAUUAUUGGGCCUAAAGCGUUCGUAGCCGGCCUAACAAGUCUCUGGUUAAACUUCAAGGCUUAACCUUGAGAUUGCUGGAGAUACUGUUAGGCUAGGAGGCGGGAGAGGUUGAGGGUACUUCACGGGUAGGGGCGAAAUCCUAUAAUCCGUGAAGGACCACCAGUGGCGAAGGCGCUCAACUGGAACGCGCUCGACGGUGAGGGACGAAAGCCAGGGGAGCAAAGGGG
RNAcentral lists this ribosomal RNA (249 nucleotides) under uncultured crenarchaeote. Its description in RNAcentral is "partial 16S ribosomal RNA". It matches the Rfam family "Archaeal small subunit ribosomal RNA", at positions 478 to 727 of the family's 1478-position model. The record is from RNAcentral. Lineage: Archaea; Thermoproteati; Thermoproteota.